This 102-nucleotide microRNA precursor is filed under the name Marmota monax (woodchuck). The record is from RNAcentral. Lineage: Eukaryota; Metazoa; Chordata; Mammalia; Rodentia; Sciuridae.
AGUUUAAUUGUUGGGUCACAAGGUAAUUGCAAGUUUAAUUUCCAAAGAAACUAUCAAACUGUUUUCUAGAGUAAUUGUACCACUUUAAUUCCCACCAAUAAU